This is a long non-coding RNA of Polypterus senegalus (gray bichir), 310 nucleotides long. RefSeq lists it as uncharacterized. The record is from RefSeq and is a predicted model, not a curated record. The transcript has 3 exons. Lineage: Eukaryota; Metazoa; Chordata; Cladistia; Polypteriformes; Polypteridae.
AGUUAUCACCUAAUGAGAAUAAGUGUGGGAGGCAGAUCGUGAGCCAAAAGGAAAAAAAAAGCAUGGAUGAUUGUGUAAUCUAAAAUGAUUUGUAUAUAACUAUGUCUCAGUCCCAGGUCUGGACAACAGUCACAAAGAUACCCACACGACACUCCGAAAGAAUUCAAAAGGGAAGAAACUGGCAGCAUCUUUUAAUACAUACCUCCCAAACCGGCAGAGCUUCUAUAAAAAGGAGGGAGGACCACCUUGACGUCACUGCUGCUAGGUCCUCAUUCUGCCUUUAUAUUGAAGUCACAGACAACAACCCAGC